UGCCUGAGGGUAAAUUACAUACUCAAAUUAAUAAUUAAUUAAUUAAUUAUUCUAUAAUUCCACGUUGGCAAUGUGUGGCGCAUAUUUCAAACGAGGCCCUUUGAAUAAAGUGUGCGUAGCCCAAUUGGGCGGGAAAUCAUAGAGAUACAAAACACUGCAAGGCGGCAAAUUUUUAUCAAUUUCACAGUAAGAGUUGCACAAAAAAAAUGUUGGGCGGCAAAAAGCUUCCGUUCUCUCCGCCAUGUUCCGGCGAGAAAUCUCCAAAGGUCUCGGUGCUCUCAAUGCUUAAUGCAAGGUACAGUUGUAAUCUUCUUAUAAGUUAAAACAAUGUGAGAAGGACCUGUUUCGGAAGAAUGGCUCAAUUAUGAGCAUUACAUUAAGAAAUUAAGAAAUUUACAGACUUGUUAACCAUGUACAUUCUACAUGAUCAUACGUUACAUGCUCGUAAAGCUGAACUGCACUUUUACACUUCUUUUUUCAAUUGAAACCAAGUUACACUCUUUGAAAAUGGUGCUGCCGGUUAUUGUUUAUCCAAA
Mercurialis annua (annual mercury) is the source of this 536-nucleotide long non-coding RNA. RefSeq lists it as uncharacterized. Lineage: Eukaryota; Viridiplantae; Streptophyta; Magnoliopsida; Malpighiales; Euphorbiaceae. The record is from RefSeq and is a predicted model, not a curated record. The transcript is spliced from 2 exons.